Molecule: ribosomal RNA, 492 nt
Filed under: uncultured bacterium
Lineage: Bacteria
Description: partial 16S ribosomal RNA
Rfam family: Bacterial small subunit ribosomal RNA
Source: RNAcentral
AGUGAACGCUGGCGGUAGGCCUAACACAUGCAGGUCGAACGGCAGCACAGUAAGAGCUUGCUCUUACGGGUGGCGGGUGGCGGACGGGUGAGGAAUACAUCGGAAUCUACUUUUUCGUGGGGGAUAACGUAGGGAAACUUACGCUAAUACCGCAUACGACCUACGGGUGAAAGCAGGGGAUCUUCGGACCUUGCGCGAUCGAAUGAGCCGAUGUCGGAUUAGCUAGUUGGCGGGGUAAAGGCCCACCAAGGCGACGAUCCGUAGCUGGUCUGAGAGGAUGAUCAGCCACACUGGAACUGAGACACGGUCCAGACUCCUACGGGAGGCAGCAGUGGGGAAUAUUGGACAAUGGGCGCAAGCCUGAUCCAGCCAUACCGCGUGGGUGAAGAAGGCCUUCGGGUUGUAAAGCCCUUUUGUUGGGAAAGAAAAGCAGCAGGUUAAUACCCCGCUGUUCCGACGGUACCCAAAGAAUAAGCACCGGCUAACUUCGUG